CACGUAGGGGACGAGCGUUGUCCGGAAUCAUUGGGCGUAAAGCGCGCGUAGGCGGCCCGGAAAGUCGGAUGUGAAAUCCCGGGGCUCAACCCCGGGCCUGCAUCCGAUACUCCCGGGCUGGAGGCAGGUAGGGGAGAUCGGAAUUCCUGGUGUAGCGGUGAAAUGCGCAGAUAUCAGGAGGAACACCGGUGGCGAAGGCGGAUCUCUGGGCCUUGCCUGACGCUGAGGCGCGAAAGCUAGGGGGAGCGAACAGG
This 254-nucleotide ribosomal RNA is filed under the name uncultured bacterium. RNAcentral's name for it is "partial 16S ribosomal RNA". It matches the Rfam family "Bacterial small subunit ribosomal RNA", at positions 524 to 776 of the family's 1533-position model. The record is from RNAcentral.